Misgurnus anguillicaudatus (oriental weatherfish) is the source of this 391-nucleotide non-coding RNA. The record is from the annotation of a RefSeq genome assembly. Lineage: Eukaryota; Metazoa; Chordata; Actinopteri; Cypriniformes; Cobitidae.
AAGCAAGUGAUGAUAUAGUUUAAUAGUAAACAUGGAGAGAUGUAUUUUACUGAUUCUUUUAACAACAGCAGGUGUAUUUGCUGAUAGCAUUAAACCAGACAAGGAUACAAAUAUAAUUAAGACUGAAGGAGAAUCUGUGACAAUGAGCUGCACAUAUGAAGCAAGCAGCAGUUAUAUUCUGCUUUACUGGUACAGACAGCUUUCUAACAGAGAACCUCAGUUUAUACUGCGGAAAGGUGCUCGAACAUAUUCAAGCAGUGGUUAUGAUGAUAUACCAGACCGUCGGUUCAAGUCAAGUACAACAGAUAGAUCCACUGAACUCAUUAUUGACAGUGUAACUCUGUCAGAUUCAGCUUCAUAUUACUGUGCACUGAGAGUUGAAGCCCAGUGA